GCAUGAUUUAGAAAUGCAAAGCUCUUUGUGAGAAAUCAGGUGAUGGUAGUGUUUUUCUAAGAAUUGGGAUUGGGGUCAUCAGAGGGUUGUCAGGAUUUCCUGCUGUGGUGCUUGGAACGACCAGUGUUGGCACAGCUAGUCGCUUAGUGCUCACGAGUGCCAAAUUAGUAAAGGACCAAGCAUUAAUCUUGCUUGAUCCUGUGGUUAGAUGAAGUCUGCUGAGUGCUUGCUGUAAAAUCAGAGACUUUGAGCAAGGACAUUUGCAGCACAGGUUAAGGCAAUGAUGACUGAUUGGUAAUUUAAACUCAGCUGUAAAAGUAGCGUGCCCAGGAGCAUUAAAGCAAGCUGUUAAGUGUGGGUAAGGUGCUGGCAGUGGGAAGCUGUCAGCAGGUUGUAGAGAGGGUGUGCGGGAUGUGCUGAUCAUAGGAGUUGGGGUCAGCAUUGCAAAAGAUUCAGGAAAUGACUUUUCAACUCAGGGGAAAAGAAACUUGGCACUGUCAAGAAAUGAACUUGGUAGUCCAGCCUCAAAAUACUGAAUUGCUUGGAGUGGAGAAGAAGAUUUUGUUGCUUCAGGGUGUGAUGAAAUGGUGGAGGGAAGCUGUCAAGAGGCAAAGGGUAGCACAGCACGGAAAGCAGAGGUGUGAAAUGAGAACAGGCAACUGAAUUACCAUCCCUAGCCAACCAAGGUUUUGUACUGACUUUGUGGGCUGGGAUCUCCAUCUCCUCAAUCAGAAAGCCUAGGGAAGCACUCAGACUUGGGAAUCCAAAGAGUUGAUGUGGCUGGGAACUUGUCUGGUGAUUUUCCUUCCUUCCACUGUAUUGUUGUCUAACCAGAGGAGUUUGUGACAGGAACCCACAGAGCUCAGAAAAGGGCUAAGACACAGUCUGCUGCACAGUGUUAGAGGAGAAACCCUGCUGUUGGGGCAGCUGGUGAAAUCUUUCCUCCCAAAAUUUUUGCCCUCAAAUCUCAAAGUCUACAGAAAACGGAUGGCUUGGGCUUUUGCAGGGCACAAGGUGACACUUGAGCUGUUUGAAUUCCCAAGCGAGGAGUGAGGCUUGUGCCUACAGAGCCUGGAGCUGUGUGGGGUGCCUGGUAUGCAGGGCCCUGUCUCCAGGCAGGCAUCUGCCUGCACACGCCGGAGCAAACAUCACCGGUCCUUGGGAGCAGCAGCAUCCACUCGUAUGUCACCCCUGCAAGAGCCCUGCUCGUCACCCCACUGAGACCGAGAGUGAAAAGGCAGCUCGUAAUCCCGAGAGCGGGCAGGGCUGCUACAGGGACAGCCCCAUGCGUCAGACCCCACGCCACAGGGUGUAGCACCACCGCCCGUGCAAGCCUCUCGCUAUGAGACAGCCGGAGCCGCUGCUCCUCCAUCUUACGGGUAAUGCCGGAGCACAGAUGAAUAGGCGUUGAGCUUAGAUUUCACUUGUCGAAAUACUGAAAGUGGAGCCUCACAGAGCGGGGUGGGAUUGGUGCCUGCUCGUAGGCUUUGCCCUAUCUCGAAAAGGAUGCUCGGGUCUCGUGCACGUACACCGCUGGCUCUGCAGAAUGCUGGCACUGGAGAUAAGGAUGAGCCCUUCCCAGAAACCAGGCGCUGAGCACUAGCAGCAUGGUGCCAUUCUGCUGCUGGCUUUAGUAACCCCGCUGCACCACAGGCGAGCCAGGCUCUUGCCACCACAGCACAAAUAAGAAAGUGCCAGCCCGUGAGCCCCGCGCCCGCUUCCUCCAGUGCCGCGUGUGCUGUGCUGGGGCGUCCUGCUCAGCGCUCUCACUGCUCCUGACCUCUUUCAUGACAAAAACCCCAUUUUCAGGGUCACGUGGUGCUGAAAUCUAGGGCGCAGAGAGUCAUUAGUGGCCUGACUUGUUAAAAAAGUUAAAUAACAAGUGUUCACUGUAACCACAGCAGAAAUCAGGAAAGAUCUGAAAGCUUCUGCAAUUUUAAAAAUGUUACAAGCAGUGCUUGUUUCAUUUGGAUUUGUCCAGUUAGGGCUUCAGCGCCAUUGUACCACCAAAAGGAAGUUUUCUGAAGCGAAAAAAAAAAAAAAAGCAGAAGAAACUGCUCCUUCAGGAGGCAGAUGCUCUCUGAUGAGUUGCCACUCUUGGCAUGUUCCUUAUUUCAAGUGAAAUUUAUAGCCACGAGCAGCUAACGCUCGGGCACUUCUGAAGUCCUCAGGAGCUUUAUCCCUGUGUGCAUUUGCUCAUGCAAGAGUUGCAGUGAUGUGACUGAAGUGCUAUUGAAACCACUGACCUGUCUGUGCAAACCCUGCAUGUGUGCUCUGUGUGUUUUCUGCCUGGGCUCUGCGUUCUCCCAGAACUGGGCAUCUC
This is a long non-coding RNA of Anas platyrhynchos (mallard), 2323 nucleotides long. RefSeq lists it as uncharacterized. The record is from RefSeq and is a predicted model, not a curated record. NCBI's taxonomy places the organism in Eukaryota, Metazoa, Chordata, Aves, Anseriformes, Anatidae.